Molecule: long non-coding RNA, 1018 nt
Organism: Astatotilapia calliptera (eastern happy)
Lineage: Eukaryota; Metazoa; Chordata; Actinopteri; Cichliformes; Cichlidae
Source: Ensembl
GAAACGUUUCCAGCUGUUAGUAUCAUGGUUGCUAGGCAACCUGGGCAGCGCGACGGAGGCUAGACCGUCCCAUUUCACAAGCCUACAAGCCUCGCACUUCUGGCCUUAGUGGUCUUUGAGUACGCAGCCCUUGAGGACGGUUAAGGCUGCCUACUUUAAGGCUGCAGACCCUGAAUUGGGAUACAACCAUACAUACAUGUUUUGGUUCGUGCAACUAGUCCGUCGGGUUAUUGUCUCCCCAGAAACAUUUCCAUUGUGUCUUGUGUGCUUUUGCUUUUUGCAGCGUUUUUCUUUUUGCAGCGUUUUUCUUUUUGCAGCGUUUUUCUUUUUGCAGCGUUUUUCUUUUUGCAGGCGUUUUUCUUUUUGCAGCUACUUUCUGAAGUUGCAGUCCGUUUGGCCACUCAGGGCCACCGUACUAUCGGCCCCCUUGGCUAAACUUUGGUAUAUCCGCCCCACAGUUACCAGCCGUCAGCUAUGUAGAAAAAGAUCCUGGUGUAGAAAGUAAUAUUAAAUAAAUUCUAACAACAGCUUAUCAAGCUUAAACGUGCUGCUGUUGUUCAGCCGCCGGUUUCCUCUUUCUGGCGCAAAGUGAGCAAUAAACAAACAAGAGAGACGGACUCGCGACUAGGGGUGGGUACCGGUAUCCGGUGCCAUCAUGGCACCGGUUCUGACAUAAACGGUAGGAACCAGACCGAAAAGUAGCGCACAUUUUGCUUUAUUUCGGUGCUUUUUCCUGAGAUGUCACACACUUUGGAUUCUAGCCAAUCAUUUUACCUUUGCAAGCGUAGUAGGCGGGCCCAGGUACGUACGUUCUUUUAGAGCAGAGCUACAGAUUAAAAAUGCCCAAGGCGAAGCGGUCAAAGUCUGUCUGUACUUCACAGAUGCAGACUCAGCAGCCUGCAACAAGUGCUUUAAGGUGAUACUGUGCAAAGGAGGUAACACCUCGAAUCUGAUGAAACACCUAGCGAUGUAUAGCAUUUUGUUAAAAGCCGAGAAAUGCGCCGUAUUUGAUAGCCUG